This 494-nucleotide ribosomal RNA is filed under the name uncultured bacterium. RNAcentral's name for it is "partial 16S ribosomal RNA". It matches the Rfam family "Bacterial small subunit ribosomal RNA", at positions 28 to 507 of the family's 1533-position model. The record is from RNAcentral.
GACGAACGCUGGCGGCGUGCUUAACACAUGCAAGUCGAACGGAAAGGCCUGCUUUCCCUUGUGGAUUGCGGGUACUCGAGUGGCGAACGGGUGAGUAACACGUGAGUGAUCUGCCCCCAACUUGGGUAUAAGCCUGGGAAACUGGGUCUAAUUCCCGAUAGGACUGCAGGGUGGUGCCUGUGGUGGAAAACGAUUUUCUAGUGGUUGGGGAUGAGCUCGCGGCCUAUCAGCUUGUUGGUGGGGUAAUGGCCUACCAAGGCGGCGACGGGUAGCCGGCCUGGGAGGGUGGACGGCCACAUUGGGACUGAGAUACGGCCCAGACUCCUACGGGAGGCAGCAGUGUGGAAUAUUGCACAAUGGGCGGAAGCCUGAUGCAGCGACGCCGCGUGGGGGAUGACGGCCUUCGGGUUGUAAACUCCUUUCGACCGCGAGGAAGCCACCUGGUUGGAAGGGUGGUGACGGUAGUGGUAGAAGAAGCACCGGCUAACUACGUG